UGGGGAAUAUUGGGCAAUGGGAGCAACCCUGACCCAGCGACGCCGCGUGGGGGAAGACGGCCUUCGGGUUGUAAACCUCUUUUGUACGGGAAGAAGGAAGUGACGGUACUGUACGAAUAAGUCCCGGCUAACUACGUGCCAGCAGCCGCGGUAAUACGUAGGGGACGAGCGUUGUCCGGAAUUACUGGGCGUAAAGGGCGCGCAGGCUGUGCUGCAAGUCAGCUGUUAAAUGUCUGGGCUUAACCCGGGCAUGCGGUUGAGACUGCGGUGCUGGAGUGCUGUAGAGGCAAGUGGAAUUCCCAGUGUAGCGGUGAAAUGCGUAGAUAUUGGGAAGAACACCGGUGGCGAAGGCGACUUGCUGGGCAGCAACUGACGCUGAGGCGCGAAAGCCAGGGGAGCAAACGUG
RNAcentral lists this ribosomal RNA (406 nucleotides) under uncultured bacterium. RNAcentral's name for it is "bacterial SSU rRNA". It matches the Rfam family "Bacterial small subunit ribosomal RNA", at positions 355 to 776 of the family's 1533-position model. The record is from RNAcentral.